Molecule: long non-coding RNA, 2559 nt
Organism: Dromiciops gliroides (monito del monte)
Lineage: Eukaryota; Metazoa; Chordata; Mammalia; Microbiotheria; Microbiotheriidae
Exons: 2
Source: RefSeq, a predicted model, not a curated record
AUGCAGUUUAGCUGAAGUCAAGGAGGCGCGUGCCUGGGGGUGGGGAUAGGGGGAGGAGCAGUUCAUUCUCCAACUCUUAGCUUCCUGGGGUCGCUGUUGAUUCUGAGAGCUAGGAGGCGGGGCUUGGCAUUACUGCGCACCCCCUAGGGGAGGGGAGGGAAGGGGUCACCUGGGGCCGAGGCUUUUGCGGCUGUCGUAGCCGGGGCGGGGUCACCCUAAAGGGGGCCUGGUCUUCCGCCUGGUUCUCCUUCCCUCGCAGUGCUCCUGUGAGCGCCCACUCGGUCUUCUUUUCCCCGCCUAAUUUCUCCCUCCUAACGUUGGAGGGAGCCUGAGCCCGCCUGCGCGGCAGGGAGAAGGCCACUUCCCUUCAUCUUCCCUGUUCCUAGGCCUGCGGGGGUGGCUGUGUAAGUCACUCUCCGAUGGUAUCAGGGAGGUAGGGUUUGAGCACGGGCCACCGGCUUCUUCCCUCCGGCCCUAACCCGGGAGUCCAGAGAUUUGGGCUCCGGCCCCCACUGAAGCAGUGGCUGUAGGAUCCGCUCAAGUCCUUCCUAGUCUCUGGGCCUCAGUUUCCUCUCGAAACGAGAAGAAUGGAGUAAAUGGCAGACCCUUCCAGCUCUGACAUUCAUGGGCCGGAGACGGAGGAUUUCAAAGCCAAAGGCUUUGGGACCGACAGCAAUAGAUGAAGCGCUUUUCUUGAUGGGCUUUCCCUGGAUGUUUGCUUUCUUUGACAAUGAAGGGUGGUAGGUAGAGGAGGUGGGACUGAUGGGGGCGGGGAGAGGCUGGGGCGUUGUAGAUCAAGGAGGCCGAACUUGUCUUCCCCGGAAAUGAGUCAGGCCUGGUGUCCUGCUGGCUGCUCCACCUUCCCUGGCGUCUACGUCUGAAACACAAACAAAGGCCGGCGUGGGGCCGCGCGACGCUCUUCCCGCACCCUGGGGAUCCGUUCCAGGCCUCGGCCCUCUAGACCUCAAAGCUCCGGCCCAGGAAGUUUCUACCAGGUAGAAAGAGGACGAGAUACCGCAGGAAGGCACUAAUUGCAUGCGCCUGGUGGCUGGGGAGACGGUGACAGAGUCAUAGAUAUCCAGUGACAAGACAAAAGUCAAGAUGACUAGCUAUGGCCCAGGAUGCAGUGGAUGACCUUGGCAUCUGAUGUCUGACCAAGCUCUGGGUGCUCCACAGGACCUGCUUCAGACACCUUCAUGGCCUUUGAAUCAGAUUGUUCUCAUCUACCCAUUUCACUAGGCAAAGUCUUCAUAUGCUUGAAGUAGACACUCCCCUGACUCACUGAUAGUCUGAGGCUUGUCGAUUCCUCUCAACCUGGUUUAGCCCAUCUUCAGUGAUGGUCUACUGUGGUGUGGCCUUUGGGUAUGCUACAGAUUUUUGGAGCUACAGGUCAGGGUUGGGUGACACAUGAAAAUCAUAGGUAGGUACUCAGCCCUGAAAAGGGCUUGACAAGCCCUCAUACCAGAGGUGCUAUUCCUCCCUCACCACCCCAUACAUCCUUCACAUAAUAUUAAUGUGAAUUGAAAGAAGGUAAAGAAAGGAAGAGGUGGCAUAAAACAAUAGAAAGAGGUGGGGCUCUGAAGAGGAUCUGAGUGUUAAUACUGUUUCAGGCAUUUAUCAUGAUAUGAUUAUAGCCCAUCGAGAAAUUCUAUGCUAUGGCCAUACACUUUGACUUUGUUAUGCCACAGUUCUUUGAAGAGUAUUUGAACUAAAAGAAGAAAUUGCCAUUUUUCUGAAUAAUUCUUGUAAAGAUGAAGUGAGUUCAUUUUAUGAUAAGAAUCUCCUCCUAAAAUAUUUAUAUCUUGUGUAUAUUUUUAAAACUGACUAAACAAAAUAAAUCAAUGCAAGAUCCUCAACAUUUACACUCUAAAACAGAAAGAUAAAGUUAUUGCAUUAAUGUAAAAGUUAGAGCUAUGUAUAAUACAUUUAUAAAAAUAUUUUUGAUAUAUUUCCCAAUUUGAAAUAUAAUUACCCUGCAAAUGAAAUAGAAGAAAGUUAAGAACUGCUUUUUAAUUACCUGACUACUCUAUAGAAGCAAUUCUCACUCCUCUAAGGAAAUAGAUAUUUCUAAAAUGAAUGGACAAGAAAACAAUUUGUUUUGGACAAACAUGAUAUAUUUGGUUUUAUUCUAUCUGAACAAGAAUGGUUAAUAGAUACAUGAUAAUAUAUUGGCAAUCACUUAAACACUUACGCUUUGGCUGUGGGUGAAUAAACAUUGCUUUUCUUUACCACAGUUUUACAAAUUUUGCUGAAAUUAUGGCCUAUUUGUAUGAAAUGGGGUUUUCUGUUGUAGCUGCUAUAAAGAUAAAAUAUUUGACUUCAAUGUUUGAAGAGUUAGGAGCAGCAGUAUCAUCAGUGAGAGCACAUUUUUGAGAAAUUUUACAUCUAAAAGAAGCCUUCACAUUACAUUAAUAGUAUUAUGGUUAUCAUUUUAUAUAUUAAAAUGGGAAAAUUGUUAAGAAUGUUAUCAAUAAAUAGAUGUUGGUUUUUAUUGUAUUUAGGUGUUAUAAAAUUGAAAUAAAUUCCAAUUUUACUUGAAUAAAAUAUUAUCUAAGAAAA